UCCAGGAUUUUUGAUGGUCUUGCUACUUGGAUAACCGUAGUAACUCUAGAGCUAAUACAUGCAUCAAUCCCUGACUUCCUGGAAGGGGUGUACUUAUUAGAUGGAAACCAGUGCGGGUUCGCCCGGAUUAUGGUGAUUCAUAAUAAUUUUCGGAUCGAUCAAUUGAUCGAUGCAUCAUUCAAGUUUCUGCCCUAUCAGCUUUGGAUGGUAGGGUAUUGGCCUACCAUGGCAUUAACGGGUAACGGAGAAUUAGGGUUCGAUUCCGGAGAGGGCGCCUGAGAAACGGCGACCAGUUCCAAGGAAGGCAGCAGGCGCGUAAAUUACCCAAUCCUGACACAGGGAGGUAGUGACAAUAAAUAACAAUGUCGGGCCUUCGGGUUUGACAAUUGGAAUGAGAACAAUUUAAAUCCCUUAUCGAGGAUCAAUUGGAGGGCAAGUCUGGUGCCAGCAGCCGCGGUAAUUCCAGCUCCAAUAGCGUAUACUAAAGUUGUUGCAGUUAAAAAGCUCGUAGUUGAAUUUCUGGUUUCGGAGUGCGGUCUGCCCCGUGGGGUAAGUAUCAGCGCUCGGGAGCCAUCCUCGAGGAGAACAUGCCUGUGAUUGAGUUCAUGGGUAUGGGAGCCUCGUCUUUUACUGUGAGCAAACUAGAGUGUUCAAAGCAGGCUUACGCCGUUGAAUACAUUAGCAUGGAAUAAUAAAAUAGGACUCUGGUCUAUUUUGUUGGUUAGUACUCCAGGGUAAUGAUUAAUAGGGACAGUUGGGGGUAUUCGUAUUCAAUUGUCAGAGGUGAAAUUCUUGGAUUUAUGGAAGACGAACUACUGCGAAAGCAUUUACCAAGGAUGUUUUCAUUAAUCAAGAACGAAAGUUAGGGGAUCGAAGAUGAUUAGAUACCAUCGUAGUCUUAACCAUAAACUAUGCCGACUAGGGAUUGGUGGUUGUUUAUUUUGACUCCAUCAGCACCUUUAUGAGAAAUCAAAGUCUUUGGUUCCGGGGGGAGUAUGGGUCGCAAGGCUGAACUUAAGAAUUGACGGAAGGGCAACACAAGAGUGAGCUGCGCUUAAUUGACUCACACGGGAAACUACAGGUCCAGACUAGUGAGGAAUGGACGAUGAAGCUCUUCUGAUUCUAUGGCUUGUGAUGCCAUUGGUCGU
Molecule: ribosomal RNA, 1148 nt
Filed under: uncultured microeukaryote
Lineage: Eukaryota
Description: partial large subunit ribosomal RNA
Rfam family: Eukaryotic small subunit ribosomal RNA
Source: RNAcentral